UACGCCCGAUCUCGUCCGAUCUCGGAAGCUAACCAAGGUCGGGCCUGGUUAGUACUUUGAUGGGAAACUUCCUGCGAAUACCAGGUGCUGUAAGCUUGCUUACGGCCAUACCAGCCUG
Molecule: ribosomal RNA, 118 nt
Filed under: Brycon cephalus
Lineage: Eukaryota; Metazoa; Chordata; Actinopteri; Characiformes; Bryconidae
Source: RNAcentral